Molecule: ribosomal RNA, 460 nt
Filed under: uncultured bacterium
Lineage: Bacteria
Description: partial 16S ribosomal RNA
Rfam family: Bacterial small subunit ribosomal RNA
Source: RNAcentral
CCUACGGGAGGCAGCAGUGAGGAAUAUUGGUCAAUGGACGAAAGUCUGAACCAGCCAAGUAGCGUGAAGGAUGACUGCCCUAUGGGUUGUAAACUUCUUUUAUAUGGGAAUAAAGUGUUCCACGUGUGGGAGUUUGUAUGUACCAUGAGAAUAAAGAUCGGCUAAAUCCGGGCCAGCAGCCGCGGGAAUACGGAGGAUUCGAGCGUUAAUCGGGUUUAUUUGGGUUAAAGGGAGCGUAGGUGGAUAGUUAAGGUAGUUGUUAAAGUGUGGGGCUCAACCGUAAAAUUGCAGUUGAAACUGGCAGUCUUGAGUACAGUAGAGGUGGGCGGAAUGCGUGGUGUAGCGGUGAAAUGCUUAGAUAUCACGAAGAACUCCGAUUGCGAAGGCAGCUUACUAACCUGCCACUGACAUUGAGGCUCGAAAGUGUGGGGAUCAAACAGGAUUAGAUACCCUGGUAGUC